This 812-nucleotide ribosomal RNA is filed under the name uncultured bacterium. RNAcentral describes it as "bacterial SSU rRNA". It matches the Rfam family "Bacterial small subunit ribosomal RNA", at positions 681 to 1503 of the family's 1533-position model. The record is from RNAcentral.
GUGAAAUGCGUAGAGAUCCGGAAGAACACCAAAGGCGAAGGCAGUGUCCUGGUUGGUACCUGACGCUCAGAGGCGACAGCUAGGGGAGCGAACGGGAUUAGAUACCCCGGUAGUCCUAGCCGUAAACGAUGACCACGAGAUGUCCGGGGGAUCGACCCCCUGGGUGUCGAAGCAAACGCAGUCAGUGGUCCGCCUGGGGAGUACGGUCGCAAGAUUAAAACUCAAAGGAAUUGACGGGGACCCGCACAAGCAGCGGAGCGUGUGGUUUAAUUCGAUGCAACGCGAAGCACCUUACCAGGGUUUGACAUGUCUUUGCACCUCUAGGAGACUAGAGUGCCCGCAAGGGACGGAGACACGGGUGCUGCAUGGCUGUCGUCAGCUCGUGCCGUGAGGUGUUGGGUUAAGUCCCGCAACGAGCGCAACCCUCAUUGCUAGUUGAACUUCUCUAGCGAGACUGCCACGAUCAACGUGGAGGAAGGUGGGGAUGACGUCAAGUCAGCACGGCCCUUACAUCCUGGGCGACACACACGCUACAAUGGCCGAGACAAAGAGUUGCGAACCGGCGACGGGGAGCUAAUCUCGUCAAACUCGGUCUCAGUUCAGAUUGCAGGCUGCAACCCGCCUGCAUGAAGUUGGAGUUGCUAGUAACCGUGAGUCAGCACAUCACGGUGAAUACGUUCCCGGGUCUUGUACACACCGCCCGUCACACCACGAAAGUCGGCAACCCCUGAAGCCGCUGGGCUAACUCGCAAGAGAGGCAAGCGUCGAGGGUGGGGUCGGUGAUUGGGGUGAAGUCGUAACAAGGUAACCGU